AGCAGGAACAGUCGGCCAGCUGCGUGCCCAAGCGGCAUAGACGCACCUCCACCUUAGACCCUUUUCCUGGGGUGCAGCGGGGGCGGGGGGCUAGGAUCGCUCCCUCUGCUUGCCGAGUCACCGCCAGGGAACUCAGCUGCUGCUGCCCGGAAGAUCUUAACAAGGGGACGGACCAGGGAGGUUCCAGGCAGAAUUCUUCAAUCAGCAGGCCCUCAAAACUGCAGGCACAUGGCACUGCGCGAUUAUCAGCGGGAAGUCAUUCAGCCUGCCUUAGAGGGCAAGAAUAUCAUCAUAUGGCUGCCAACAGGUGCAGGAAAGACCCGUGCAGCUGCCUACGUCUGUGAGAGGCACUUGGAGAGCCGAAAGAACGGCAAAGUAGCAGUGUUAGUCAACACGGUGCCUCUGGUAGAUCAGCAUUUGAAGAACGAUUUCAGCAUCUUGAAGAAUCGCUUCGAAAUUGCUGCCAUCAGUGGGGACAGCAUCCUGAAGCUGCUGUUCUCAGAAGUGGUGAAGACGAAUGACCUGAUCAUCUGCACGGCCAAGAUCCUGGAAAACGCUCUCAACAGCCAAGAAGUGGAGAAGCAUGUGGAACUGACAGAUUUCUCCUUGCUGGUGAUUGAUGAGUGCCAUCACACCCACAAAGAAACCACCUACAACAAGAUUAUGGAGGAUUACCUGGAGCGCAAGUUGCAAGGCCAGCGGAACUUGCCACAGAUCCUGGGGCUCACAGCCUCUCUGGGAACUGGAGGAGCCAACACUCUGGAGGCAGCCAAGGAGCACAUCCUGCAGAUCUGUGCUAACCUAGAUACUGAAAAAAUCAUGUCGUCUGACAAGCGCAAGAUCUACCUUGCUACUCAUGUCUCACAACCCAAGAAGCAGUACGAUCUGUCUGAACAAAGGCCUCAGGAUCCCUUUGGACAAAAGCUCAAGGAGAUAAUGACUCAGAUCUACAAUUACCUGGGUGUCCCUGACUUGAGUACUAAUUUUGGAACUCAGCUCUUUGAACAACAAGUUGUGUCACUUGAGAAGAAAGGAGCAGAAAAAUUUUGCCAAAAGACCCGCACCUGCGCUGUGCACCUCCGUAAAUACAACGACGCCCUGCUGAUCAAUGACACUGUGCGCAUGAUUGAUGCCUUCAAAAUCCUGGAUGACUUUUACCUGCUAGAAUGUGCUACCAGAGUGCUGCAACAUUCGGUAGAUCGUUACCUGGUCCAGCUCUUUGACAGGAACAAAGCAUGCCUGCAGGCCCUGGCGCAAGACAGCCGCUAUGAGAACCCCAAACUCGCUAAGCUGCAGCAAGUCCUGCAGGAGCAGUUCCAAGAACUGGAGAGCUCGCGGGGCAUUGUGUUCACCCGCACACGCCAGAGUGCUCAUUCAUUGCACCAGUGGAUCCAAGACAACCAGGCCUUACUUGGACUUGGGAUCAAGGCUGCGGUCCUGACUGGGGCUGGCUACAGCAGUCAGACGAAGCACAUGACGCAGCCAGAGCAGCAGCAGGUCAUCCAUCAUUUCCGUAAAGGGACACUCAAUUUGCUCUUCUCCACCAGUGUGGCUGAGGAGGGACUGGACAUUCCCGAGUGUAAUAUUGUAGUCCGCUAUGGGCUACUGACAAACGAGAUUGCCAUGAUGCAGGCCAGGGGCCGAGCCCGUGCCCAAAACAGUAUCUACUCUGUGUUGGGCAAGAUGAACAGCAAGGAGGUGGCCCAUGAGAUGCGCAAUGAGAUCUUAGAGGACCUGAUGGAGAUUGCUAUCAAGUGUAUACAGCAGAUGCCUGAGCAGGAAUAUCGCCUGAAGAUUGCAGAGCUUCAGCAUAAAGCCGCCCACAGUCGCAGGGUGCGGGAUGCCAAAAAAAACCUGCAGCACCAGCUGCACGACCCAGGAGAUGUGCACCUCUACUGCAUCGGGUGCAACGGAGAAGUCUGCCGUGGCACUGACCUGCGCAAAAUAGAGAAAAUGCAUCACAUCAGCAUUAACCCCAAGUUCAGGCAGUACUACAGAGCACUUGAACAAGUGUUCAUUCCCCGUGAGUUCAACGACUGGAGGCCAGGCAGGUCCAUCAGCUGCAAUAAAUGUGGGCAGGCUUGGGGAAUGGAAAUGAUCUACCGGGAAAUCACACUUCCCAUGCUUGCCAUCAAAAACUUCGUAGUAGAAACCCCAGAUGGCAGAAGGACCUUUAAGAAGUGGAGCAAAGUAACUUUUGACAUCAGUGAGUUUGACUAUAUUGACUACUGUAACACCAACCUAGACAUUGUAGAGUCAAUGAGUUAGCGUAAAGAGUAUACCCCCUUGGAUAUGCUUGCUCAAAAUAUGAAUGGGUGGGCCUGACUACUGGAGAAUCGUGACCCAGUGGAUCGUGAGUUGGAGAUUUCUUGGAGAGUACUCCCUCCACCUGUAGCAUGGACUGGUGACUGGCCUUGAGCAAACCAGAGGGACUCACAGCCUCAACCUCCAUCUUCUGAAGAAAGAAGAUAGAUAGCUGAAAGACUGUGAAACCCUUGGGAAAUAGAAGCUAUGCAAGUGCCAUUUCUAAGCAGUGACAUCCAAGUAAAAGCAGCAACCCAUUCAAAAAAGGUGAAGACAAGAACUCCCAAGAAAGCCAGUAUAAUACAAGCAGCUGUGUUAUCUUGGGCUCACAUCCGAACCUGGCCAUGAAGCUCCCUCGUAGCUGUCAGACAGUCCCUAUGCCCGAAUACUCACUGAGAUGAUAAACCUCCAAGGCAGAUCCUUGAGCACGUUGGACACUCCUCCUGAAAAGGCAUCUGCCCAUACUGUCCUUAUACUUUAUGGAAUUCACUGACUGGAGUCAUAAGAUUGUAAAGGGUUUCCUACUUUUCAUUUUUUUCAUAUUGAUUAUAUACUAUGGGAGAGAUGUUUGAAUAGGCAAUUUGGCAUAUCAAGGGGAAUGUUUUACCAGACUGAGGCACAGUCAUUUCAGAAAUCAUGUUUUAAAAUAGAUUUCAGAUUGCAUGCUUGCACCUUAAGGAAUUCAAGGCAUGCAAAGAAAAUCCAUACCUGUAGGUUUUCUUGAUUCCAAGCUGGAGUCAUUCUUAUUCAACAUCUCUUUGGGGGAAAAUCAGUUGUUAAAGUAGUAAUACAAAUAUUAAAUAGUAAUGGAACUAAUAAAUAUCCUUGGCAGAUGCCUCGCAGUUUGAAUCAAAUAUGAGAAUGAGCCCAACUGACACACCAUUUCUAGCUGGGCUGUUGCCUAUUCCUUUUGCACGUGGGGUUCAUCCCAAACGCCUCAAAAAGCACACUUUAAGUCCAGGAAUAAAUCGGCCCCUCCAGUUCAGCAAGCUUUCCCUAACAGCAGAUUUCACACAUUCUGAAGUCUUAGGUUACACAUCUUGCAAGUGAUGGUGAGGACAUGGAGACAUCUCAGGCAAAGUCCACAUAUCCAGAGCACAACUAAAUGCUUAGAUCAGCCUUCCCCAACCUUGUGCCCUACAGGCACAUUUGGAUUGCAACACCCAGUAUUCUUGCUGGCUGGGAAUUCUGGGAGUUGCCUUUCACAUGCCUCUGAAGGCCACCAGGUUACUAGUAGAUAAUUGAGAUCAGAGAUGUCAGUGGUUUAAACCUGUUCGAUAUUAAACAAACCCUUUCAAAUAAACUCAGAUAAAACAGCCGAAAAGAGCAAUAGUGAAAGCUGCAACUACCUUGCCCAUCUGAUAUGCAGAGGUUGAAAUGUAUGUACUUGGAAGAUUCUUAGUUUUGUAAUUUUCCUAUUUUUGCUUUCUGCACCAUUAAUAAAAUUUUAUUGCAACCUCCAGUAUCCUAUAAUCACUACUGCCAUUUCUUCCACCGAAAUAUUUUAAUGAUGUCUUCUAGGGAAACAAAUGGAUUACCUGCAUUUCACUCUUAAUUUGUCGCCCACACUAAUGUGAUAAAAUCUUAAGCAUAGUAUGGGCAGGGAUAAAAAUAAAGAUAAAGCCACAUAAUUACUGAUUUAAGUAUGCUUUUAUUUUACAGGAUACAAAUUUUUAAAGGUUUCACAAGAAUUAAAGUGCGUAAUUUUACAAUAUUCCAGUUCCCACCUUUAUGGACUAAAUAUACAUAUGUUACAGAAAUAUAUACACAUAUCUGCAAAUAUUUUACAUUUGUGUACAUAGUAUUAAAUGGAAAAGCUAACCACUUUCACAAUCUUUAACGAUGUCUUUUUUACAUUUUGCCAACUAUUUGUGGUAAAGCAAAAAAAGUAUAAGUUUAAAAAUGUUACAUUGUUGCAACUCAAAAAUCCUCAUUCAGUUGCUAAAUGAAAGCACUGAAUGCAUAUUCCCAAAUACUACAUGUGGUUCUGCUACCAUGAACUAGGUCAGGAACAGGCAGCUUCUGGCCCUACAAUCGGCUCUAGGCAGUUUAGCAAAUGGUGAAGGAUGAAGGGAAAUAUCUAUGUCAAACCAUCUGGAGGGCUGCAAGUUGCCCAUAACUGAACUAGGCCUUACCCUGUUUCUACUCAAUUAUCAUUGGAAACGUGCCUUAUCUUGCAAUUUGGAAUUUAAGUAAUACAGCCUGACUUGGCUCCCAGUUUAGAGUAGACACAUCAGUCACAAGUACAACUGAUUUCAAUGGAUCUUAAGGAUCAGGAUCUAACCUCUUGUUUGCUCCUUUUCUUCAAUAUCCUGUCUUAUGUCUGUUACCACCUGAACUUCUUAAAAUUAAAAGCGGGUGAGGACUUUUAUGUAGAACACUGCAUGGUAUUUUGCAUCUGUUCCAGCAGUGUAUAGGUAGAUAUAGUUUUUCCCCUUUUCCUACACAGCAUUAUAGUUAUGUUCUCUCAUAUACUAUUUGAUGAGAAAAUCCAUCCUUUUCCUUAAUUGUUUUACCACAAAUAUUUUAUACAUCUGCAAGGAUUAACUCUGCACCAGAUCAAAUUGGUAAUACAUAUUUGACAAUUUCAAAACCCAUUUAAUUAAACAAUGCACUAGGUAAAAAGUCAAAUUUAUACAGAUGUUAAGAAGUGCUGGGAGAGCAGAACAAAUUGAGCAGAUCCUGCAAACUAGCUACAAGAGGAGCAUUUAAAAUUUAAAAAUUUAUGAAUAUACACACUGUUCACCUGUCACUUAGUAUUUUACACUAAUAAAAGUACACUGUAAUCCAUUUAAAAUCUAACAAAACCAAGCCAUCCCAGAAAUAAGUUGCACAAAUUAUAAAUGUUGAUGUUUUUGUUUUUCACGAUGAACUGGACAAAGUAGUUAUAGGUAGUGAGAAUUUCUACCAAGAACUGCUUUGUAUAAGCUAAGACCUUACAGUUUGCUUGGCCAAAUUGUUCUACCAUCAAAUAAGAAAUAAAUCCAACACAUUUCUUCUGCCCAUAGUUUCUCUUGAAUUACAGUGCUUAGAACCAAAGAAGGGAAAAAACUAAUAACUAGAAAAAAUACUUCGCAUAAUUUGUGCUUCAAUCACUGAUGAUCUCCUUUCCUUCUUAAUUUUGCUAAGGUUGCUUAUAGAAAUGAAAGCAAGAGACUCAUCACCAUGAUCCACAUCAAGGGCAAAUUGUACAGACAGUUUAAGUUCUUCAACUUGUAAACAUUGCUUUAGAACUGUAGCUAAGAUUGGUUACACUAGACUGGAUCCAGAUUUCUUGUGUUACAUAAUCAUGCACAUACUUCUAUUGCAAGGAGAAAUGACUCACAGCAUGCCCUAAAAUUAACAUUAUUUUUCUACAGGACUGGUAAAACCCAGUUUCUGGCAGAUGCAUGGACGUAUUGUAAACCCUAACUGUGAUUUGUUCAUUCAUAUUGAUACAUUGCCCUUACCUAGAGCUUGAACAAGAUCUUCAUGUGGGCCACACUAUAAACAUGAAGCUACAGUAUGUGUAAGCUUCUCUCCAUCCAGUGCAAAGAAGAAGACAGCUCUGUGUACACAUCCCAUUGCACAUGUGGUGCCCAUUGUGACGGCUGGAUUGUGCAAAGCCUAUCAUAAAAAUCUGGACUUACUGGGUUUUCCUCGGUUCACAGUAUUUCUUACUUGGCAGCAAUUCCAUCACUAAUUCUGUUGUUAGUCUUCUCUUUGAUCCAUGCUACAAGCACAUCUCCACAUUUUUGCCAUUUUAUUUAAGUGCUAUUCAAGACUAAGUUCAUUCAUUGCUUCUGAAAACCUGAAGCAAACACCAUAAUGAAAAUACUUUGUUAAAUGCUGUAAAACAUUUAUGGGAAGUAGUGAGGAGGAGGAGGACGGGUCAUGAAUUUAAAGGCAUCAACUAAUCAUUGUGUGCAGGUGGCUUUUCCUGGAAACCAGAAACAUUAAUCUCCUCCAAGCCUGAUCUGGUAUCUGACAAGAAUAUGAGGAUUGUGCUUCAAAAUAGUGGCUUCUCAUUUUAUGGAUGUUUGUACACAUCCCUAGACUUAUUAUGAGUGCUCUACUCUGCAAUCAGUUGGCGUGUGGGUUUCAGUUCCUGCAGUUGAUAGAAACCCUUGUCAGUCCCUUAAUUGCAGUUCAUAUCAAUACAAAGUGCUUAACAAGUAGGAGGGGAAAUGAGGGGCUGCAUUCACAAGACUGGUUCUCCCUGGUGUUAGCCAUGCUUUAUAGCAAGUUAGCUUUCCACAUAUACCAGCCACAUAUGAUCACAAUGACUGUUCAGCUCAAAUAUCAAAAAUAGCAGUAAACAUUAAUCCAAGUAAAAUUCACAUGACGAGCACAAACUCAAAUUUAUACAACUAUCCAAAUUCUUUUCACAGAAACUGAAUGAUCUUUUAACAAAUAAGACAUUUUAAGCAUCCUACUUAAGCUUUUAUUGUUUCUAGAAGUACAUACGCAGCUGAACCAUUUUUGACUUUAUCUUUUCAUGUGCCUUUCAAUCCCUUUCAUUUUAAAAACUCAUUGAAUUUCAUACCUUUAAUAUCUCACAAUAGGUUUUCUGUCAACAGACUUGCCUUCCUUUUUUUAAAAGCAUGAACCUAUGGCAAUUAUGUAAACUAAACCAAAAGUUAUGCUAAAAAGAACAGGAUUGGAGAUUUAGUUCUGAAAUGCUGGCUGUCCUCUUGGGACAACUGUUAAGUUGGUUUGCAACAUGUGCAAAGAACCACACACAAAUUCCUGCAUUACUGAAUUGCGUUGCAUGCCAACUCCAGAUUGAACCAGUCGAUGGAGAAUCAGUUAAAGAAAAAUGGAAUAAUAUACUCAGUUAAAAGGCCAACAUGUCAUAAAUAUAGAGCUAAAUUCACAAUCUAGUAUCUCCCAGUUACACAACUUUGACCUCCUUAGAAUGAGUAAGUCUUGGGAAAGUUAACAGCAAAUGAUCUGGCUGUGUUACUAAUGGCCUGGGAAGAACCAGUUUCAAGAAAGGGCUUUCCUCCAUCCUUCAAACUAUAGGAGAAUAAUAAAAAUACCUGUGCCUUAAAAUGCUUAGUACUCAGGACAGGGUAAGGAACUUGGAUAAUAAUUUCUUACCUCAUAUUCAUUACAAGUAAUCAUUAGCUGUGCUUUACAUAGGAGUCUGAGGACCCCAACCCUAUUAAUAUAUGACACGGAAGCAAAUCUCAUUUGAGUUCCAUGAAACUAGCUUCUGUGCCAGUGUGCUUAGGAUUCUUAACGUCACAGGAAAUGCUCACAGAAAUUUACGCUGAGGUGCUAACUAGAUGCUAUUUAUCAUUAGAAAUGAUCCCACUUUGCAUGCCACCCCUGCAAUUUGGGAGGGAUAAGAAAAUCUGAGAGCCAAACGCUGGGCUGUGGACUUGGGCAAUUGCGGUUCUAGUCCCCACUUGGCUGUGAAGUUCACAGGAUGACUCUGAGCCUGUCACAGACUCUCAGCCCAUAAGCCACUUUGGGUUCCUCACAAAAAAGGCAGGAUAUUAAUGUAGUAGUGGUGGUGGUGGUGGUGGUGCUUGACUUCUCCUCCUCCCAUCAAUAAAUUACUCUAAUGUAGCAGAAUUCAUAUAUGGAAUAACUGAGAACAAUGUGAAUCCUGCAAGGUCAUGAGUACUGAUAAAAGAAGCAUUCUUUCAGGCAAGAUUCCCAGAACAAAAAACCAGACACCAUUCAUGUUUAUUACAGAAGGAAGAUGGGGGUAUAUAUUUUGUGUCAGAAAAACUGCAUGCAGGAAAGUGUAUAUUCAAUUGGCAAAGGAAUCCAUGAUGUAUGUGCACUGGUGCUGGUUUUUCCCUUCAGAUGCAGUUGGGAAGCUCCCGUGGAUGCAAGUCUUUAGAUGGUAUUCAAAAAGCUUAGAAAUCACAAGUAGUAAAAAGUGAUUGUUUCUUCCCUUACUUAUAUCGUUUAAAAAUACAGUAAAAUUAAUCUCUUGAAACUAAAAAUUCAUGUCUUAAAUGGAUACUCAGGGAUGGUUAAAGAAUCUUUGCUUUAAAUAUGGUAAAAUUCCCCACUGUUCAAGUAAAGACCUACAAACCACAGCAGCAAUUUCUCUGUGCUCUCAAAAUUAUUUUUUUCUAAAAACACAGAAUAAGCUCUUUCAUCUUGACUAGUUUAUCUUUGUGCUACAUGCAGAAAUGCAGGCAACAGCAACUGGCAUGACAUUUUUAGAGUAACCACAGAGGAGAAAGCUUGCCAACUGCCACAGGUCAGUCUCUGCUAAAGAAAAUGUUGAUUUAAUUUACCACACUACUACUACAUAAUUCAAGCACUUGAUAAGAUACUUGCUGGUUGGUUUCACAUCUGCUGGAAUAAAAAAUAAAACUGCCAUAUAUUAAUGCCUUUAUACACAUUCAUGGUGCAACCACAUUUGGAAUACUGUGUACCAUUCUGGUAAUCAUUACGCAAAAUAGUAUAUUGUAGAACUGUAGAAGUGCAAAGAAGGGCUACCAGAACAAUGCAGGGAAUGGAGCAACUCCCCUGUGAAGAACAGUUUGCUGCUUUGUAGUUCAUAAAAAGGUGAAUAAUGGAAGAACAUGACAGAGGUGUAUAAAAUUAUGCAUGGUGUGAAGAAAGCUAGGUAGCUUCUCUCCCCCUUAUAUAACACUAGAGCGCAGGGCCAUCCCGUGAAGCUGAAAGGUAGCAUAUUAGUGGGCCAAUGCAGACUGUGGAAUCCGUUACUGCAGGAUGUAGUGAUGGCUACACUUUGGGUGGCACUAAAAGGGCAUUAGUCAAGUUCAUAGAGGAUAAGGCUAUCCAUGCAUACGAGUCAUGACGGCUACAUAUUACUUCCAAAAUCAGAGGCGGCACAGCUCUCGAAACCAGCUGCUGGGGCAUAUAAGCAGGAGAAUGCUAUUACACUCAUGUUCUGCUUGUGGGUUUAGCACAGCAUCCUGUGACAACUAUGGGAACAAAAUGCUAGGCUAGACUGGCCUUUGAGUAAGUUCCAUGAUGAAUCAGAGCAAUUAUUUAAUUAAUUUCUAAACCACCCUGGAGCUGAAGCUCUCUAGACAGUUGACACAGUCUUUUAUGUUCUUAAGCCAACACAUAUCACCCUGAACAUUCUGUUUCUCAUUUAUCUACCUACUGAUUAAGCAUACCUGUCUAGAAUGUAUAGCCUUAGCAAAAGUUAAAAGAAGCUUAAACCAAAACAUCAAUAAAGCAUUGCUAGUUUUUAAACUGUGAUGUUCAGAAUGUGGACACAUCUCUAGAAGACCUUUUAGUAGAAUUUUCUCAUUUUGUAUCGAUAAAUUGUGGCUAUUUAGCAAAGAAUACUUCAACUAGUUGUGUAUGUUUUUUCAGUCAGAUGCUGGAAAUUAAAUUUGGAUUUCUACUUGGCAAAAUUGUUCUCAAAAGUUAUUGCACAUAUACCAUCCCAAAUGUGAAAAGGUUGUUUUGAAUAAUUAGCAGAUUGCAAUAAAAUUGCUAUUCUGAUGAAUUAGCUCAACAGUGUGACAUUCAAUUGGUAAUGCACUCUUACACUUGUCUUUUCAGAAGUUGGUCCCACUGAAAUCAACGGGGCUUUCUCCCAGACAUUCCCUGACCAUGAUCUGAUACUGGAGCUUGCUGAAUUCCACAACAAUCUCGUCUUCAUUGUCUGAGCCUGAAUUCCCAUCAAAGCUACAGACUGCUUGUGCACAUUCUGGCACCUUGCCCUGAUGCCUGUGCCCAACACCUAGCAGAUGUGGCUUCGUACUUACAUGCCCACAUGCCCGGCAAUGAUGCCUCCUCCUUGUCAGUGCAUUGAAGGACUCCUUGCAUUUCAUGCACAUGGUGACUUCAUUGUCUCGAAUCCAUCUUGGUGCUCUCUUCCCAAGUUCAGCAGUCUGAAGAGGAAAGAAGAACAAAAUGUGAAGCAUUGUUAGCACAGAGAAUGACUACUUCUGUGCUUUGGAAAGGGAGCAGCACAGUAGAUGUUAUUCUGAUAUCUAAAUGGCUUGUUUAGACUUUAAACUUCUGAAUGUCACAGAAAACGACAGCUGAAUGUCUAGCACUUCAGUGUGACCAUGUCCUGAUUCCAAUGGUCAGUACUUCCCCCUCUCUGCUGCUAGUAACCAGUGAAAGCUGAGGAAAGUAACAGAUUUUAAUGCCCAGACAUUACAAAAGGUGUCUGUGGGGAAGGAGGUCAAGAGAAAUGAACUAAGAAUUUAAUGAUACCCAUGCAUCAUGCUUGGAUCACAGCUGCAGUAGAAUCCAAGCCAGAAAAGCAGUGCAUUGUUCACUUCUUCAAAAGAAGUGAUCAAUUAGAAUCAUUACAGAUCUCAUUGUGUUAAAGGGAACAUAAUAAACCAUGAAAGAAAUUGUUUUAUAUUACAGUAAUUAAUCUAAAACUGUUUUCAGCCACAAGAAAUGUAUCACUAUUGUUAAUGAACAAAGAAAAGGCUAUGACUGUGCUUAUAUCCUUCCACUCUUAUCAAACCACCAUUCAGCUUUUUGCAUUUCCCUAUAUGCUUGCUCAUUUUCCCUAGAAAUAUGCACUGUUUGAAUUAAGUUUUGAAAAGAGCAGUAACAAUGCUAAAUUGAAAAAGAAAUGUAGCUUGACAGGUAGACAUUUUUAAUAGAAAUGAAGAAAAGUGUCAUAAUGGUGGAGGGAAAAGACAAACAAUGAAGGCACAAUGAACGUCCCAUUUGCCUGCCUUCUUAG
RNA transcript from Varanus komodoensis (Komodo dragon), 10945 nucleotides. It is a transcript of the gene named DExH-box helicase 58, with no coding region annotated. The record is from RefSeq and is a predicted model, not a curated record. Lineage: Eukaryota; Metazoa; Chordata; Lepidosauria; Squamata; Varanidae. The transcript has 14 exons.